GAAUGAACGUUUAUGGUUAGCUUGAAAAAGAAAAUUAAAUUUUUUACUUUUAUUUGGUAAAACAAAUGAUGGACGGGUGAGUAAAACAUAGAAAUCAACCUUAGCAUAAUUGUUUAAUACAUGAAAAAAUUGAAUUGUUUUAAGAAAAGUCUAUGCAAGAUUAGGUAAUUAAUCUACUAAAAAAACGUAUUAAGCCUAUAAUCUUUAGUUGGUCUUUGAGGAUGAACAACCACAUUGGGAUUGAGAAUGGCCCAAACUUUAUUUAGGGGCAGCAGUGCGGAAUUUUGGGCAAUGAGUUAAAGCUUGACCCAGCUAAACCAUAUUUGUGAAGAAAGUAUACAGCUUUAAAACAUUUUGAAAUAAAUAAAAUAAUGAUUAUUUAUAGUAAAGUCCUGGCUAAUUUCGUGCCAGCAGCCGCGGUAAAACGAGAAGGGCAGACGUUAUUCGGAUUAAUUGGGCGUAAAAGAAUACGUAGGUGGAAAAUUAAAUUUUCAUUUAAAAUUUAGUGUUUUUAUUUACUAAGCGGUUAUUAAAAUGAUUUUCUAGAGUUUAAAAGAAGAUUAUAGAAUUUUAAAUGUAACGGUAAAAUGUUUAAUAUUUAAAGGAAUCUCGAAGGGUGAAGACAAUAAUCUAUUUUAAAACUGACAUUGAGGUAUUAAAGUGUGGGUAGCAAAAGGGAUUAGAUACCCCUAUAGUCCACACCCUAAACUAUGAGUGUGAAUUUUUUAAUUGAAGAAAAAAUAUAGCUAACGCAUUUUUAGCACUCCGCCUGGGAACUACGAUCGCAAGAUUAAAACUCAAAGGAAUUGACGGGGACCUAUACAAGCAGUGGAGCAUGUGGUUUAAAGCGACAAUACGCGUGAAACCUUACCAAUUUUUGAAUAAUUUGUUAUAAUAAUUACAGGUGUUGCAUGGCUGUCGUCAGUCCGUGCUGUGAAGUGUUUGGUUUAUUCCAAUGAACGGACGAAACUUUUUUAAGCUUUUAACUUAAACUACUUUUUAAGGAUAUCUUAAAGGAAGAAAAACAACGUCAAGUCUUCAUGACCCUAAUAAAUUGGGCUACUUUCAUGUGCUACAAUGAUUUUUUCAAUGAGAAACGAUAUUGCAAUAUUUAGUAAAUCUCAAAAUAAAAUCAUGUACAGAUUAUUUUCUGAAACUUGAAAAUAUAAAGUUGGAAUUGCUAGUAAUCGUAAAUAAGAAUGUUAUGGUGAAUUAGUUCUUAGGUCUUGUACACACCGCCCGUCACGCUACGGAAAUUUAUUUUAUUUGAAAAUUAUAAUCAUUUAUAAUUCAUGGUAAGAAAAAGACUGAAGU
This 1314-nucleotide ribosomal RNA is filed under the name uncultured bacterium. Its description in RNAcentral is "bacterial SSU rRNA". It matches the Rfam family "Bacterial small subunit ribosomal RNA". The record is from RNAcentral.